UAGGAUAUCUGUCUCCCUUCACGUCCAUAUUGAAGAUAGCAUGCAGUGGUGAAACAUCAACCAACGUAAAUUUGAUAACGAAACCUCGCCUGAUAAAAUUAUCCAACACAAAAAGUCUCCAACCUACCUUGAAAUUUUUUUGAUCACCAAGUACAAUCCACUCUUUGUCACGAUGGCGCAAAAUCGCGUGCUCUAAUGUUGGAGGAAGA
Molecule: long non-coding RNA, 209 nt
Filed under: Nicotiana benthamiana
Lineage: Eukaryota; Viridiplantae; Streptophyta; Magnoliopsida; Solanales; Solanaceae
Description: long non-coding RNA (NBEN_LNC036506)
Source: RNAcentral